Molecule: long non-coding RNA, 925 nt
Organism: Drosophila sulfurigaster albostrigata
Lineage: Eukaryota; Metazoa; Arthropoda; Insecta; Diptera; Drosophilidae
Exons: 3
Source: RefSeq, a predicted model, not a curated record
AAUUUUGGUGCGGUGGAGGUUAUAGAAAUCGAUAAGGUUCUGGUGGAAUGUAUCGAUUACCAUCAGCUGAUGGUUGUUGAUAGGCAAUGCUAGGGAUGGAAACAAGUUUCUGUGCUACGCUGGUCUUUUUAGAAUUUCCCGACUUUUCGAUUUAGAAACUCAUUAAAUCCCGCACUCUGUGUAGGUAUCUAGGCAAAUCAUAAUUAGAAUACCAAUGCUUAACAGUUUAUGCUUCAAAUCAUUAAUAAAUUCAACAAAUGGAUUCAAAAGAUUAAUGAAAUUCCCGAAAAUACUGCUCUUCAUAAAAUUGAAGAAGAACAAUUUGGUUCAUUAUAAAUCCUUCGAAAUACUAUAGACGCUAGUGAAAUGAUGUUCUUCCUGCAAUGUCAAUUAUCGCAAGUUCCUCAGUUUGUGCAACGUGUUCAUGCUGUACUUUUCGAUGCAAUCGUGUGAAGCCUGAGCAUCGUCAUAAGAUCAUGAUGAAAAUUAAAGUCCCUAACACAAUCGGGUAAAAGCAACUUGCACUUGGCAAUCUUCUUAGGAGAUAGGUUUUAUAAUCUGAUGACCAUUCACUCAAGUCCAGUUGACGCAACUGCGUCCAUUUGGACAGAGCGUCGCAAUAGAAAGUAUGAUCGGAUUUCAAACUAUGCAUCCCAGGAAUUAGCUCUGACAUUAUUGCUAUUUCUUCGCCGGCACGAUCACUAUCAGUAUCACAGUCAUCCACUGUGUACUCCAUUGUUUCCAUGUUGCUUUACAACACUAUACAAUCGAUUUGUCACUAAAAGUGUUGGCAAGCAUCGACAGAACAGCUUCAGAAAAAAAAUAAUUAUGGAUCUAAAAAGCGGAUUUAAGUUAAAAAAAAAAAGCCAGAAUUCCCGCUGGCAUUUGACGGGAAAAAGCGACUCUGGCAACACUGUAUCUAACU